GGGGUCGACUGGUUUUGACAGCAUGUUUAAUAAAUUAGUAAGCAAGUCGAGCGUUGAAAUAUUAGCUCGUUAAUAUCAUGUUUCAAAUUUUAAAUGGCGAAAAUAACUACGCUCUAGCUGCAUAAAUAACUGAAUUAUAGUAAGUUAAUGCCAAGUUCUGACUAGGUUGGAAAGCUGGAUGUCUCAUAAUAGCCCUUGUUGACGGCGAUUAAUUUAGAGGCACCAUAAAUGUCAACAUCGAAAAGCGAACGCAUUUUUCGUUUUUUUCAAUUGCAAUAUGCUAAGCUUGUUGUAGAUUGUUUUUGUUUAGCAAUAAGUCUAAAACUUAACGAAAACUAAGCUUGUAGAACGCUUUUUUAUAGCGUGUUUGGACGAGGGUUCGAAUCCCUCCGACUCCACAA
RNAcentral lists this transfer-messenger RNA (401 nucleotides) under Flavobacteriaceae. RNAcentral describes it as "Marivariicella sp002721275 Standard tmRNA". It matches the Rfam family "transfer-messenger RNA". From Rfam's summary of the family: Bacterial tmRNA, also known as 10Sa RNA or SsrA, is named for its dual tRNA and mRNA-like properties. Its role is to liberate the mRNA from a stalled ribosome. To accomplish this part of the tmRNA is used as a reading frame that ends in a translation stop signal. RNAcentral also lists the same sequence under 1 other name. The record is from RNAcentral. Lineage: Bacteria; Pseudomonadati; Bacteroidota; Flavobacteriia; Flavobacteriales.